Molecule: long non-coding RNA, 3547 nt
Filed under: Hordeum vulgare
Lineage: Eukaryota; Viridiplantae; Streptophyta; Magnoliopsida; Poales; Poaceae
Description: long non-coding RNA (HVUL_LNC018138)
Source: RNAcentral
GUCCAUCCUUGCUAUCCCAGGCUGCCGGCCUGGAACCCAUCCUAGAUAGAUGAAGAAGAGGAAGAAGAGGCAACUCCAAAUGAACAAUCAACGCGCUCGCGUCAACUAACCUUUACCUGCACCUGCAACUGGGGUUGUAGUAAUCUGUGAGCCACAGGGGACUCAGCAAUCUCAUUUCCAAAGGUAUCAAGACUAGCAAAGCUUAAUGGGUGAGGUAUGGUUAAGUGGUGGGGUAGCAGCAGCUGCUAAGCAUAUAUUUGGUGGCUAACUUACGAGUACAAGAAAUAAGAGGGGGGGAAAGAUCUACGCAUAACGGACGUGAACUACUGAUGAUCAAAAGAAUGAUCCUGAACACCUACCUACGUCAGACAUAACCCCACCAUGUCCUCGAUCGGAGAAGGAACUCACGAAAGAGACAGUCACGGUUACACACACAGUUGGCAUGUUUUAGUUAAGUUAACUUCAAGUUAUCUAGAACCAGUGUUAAACAAAGCUUCCAUGUUGCCACAUAACCGCGGGCACGGCUUUCCGAAAGAUUUAACCCUGCAGGGGUGCUCCAACUAGUCCAUCACAAAUUACCACAAGCCGCAUAGAAAUCCUCAAUCACGAAGCUCGCGAUCUCGUCGGAUUCCCUAGAGGAAAACCUCAACUAUGAGAUUACCCAAAGCAUCACCGGAAUCCCGAUGCACAAGAUAUCUCGUCAGAGGUAAAACUAAUCCAGCAAGGCCGCCCGACGUGUCGACGAUCCCGAUAGGAGUCGCGUACCUCGUUCUCAGGACACGACGGAUGAGCAAUGGUUACCACGCCAAACGCCGAGUUGCCCCGGGUAGCGUUAAUAAGCUGCUCUGUUUUGGACCAACACUCAUGAGGAGCACUGGCCCGGGGGUUGAUUAAAUUAUCCUCGGGGCCCGGGAAGUCCCUAUGCAAUUUUAUUAGGUGAUUAGGCAAAUGUAGUACCAAUGUUGGGCCUUGCCAGACCAGCUUUAAUCUAAAACGAAUUAUCAAGGGGGUCCCCAUAACGACCCCGAUCGUGUUAGGAGCGCUCGUUUAUGGAACAUAACACCGGUAGCCGGUAACUAAAGGGGGCAAAGGUGGAACAAAACACCAGGCUAGAAAGGCCAAGCCUUCCACCUUUUGCCAAGUAUAUAGGUGCAUUAAAUUAUAUAACAUUAAAUAUGGUGAUAUGACAAGGAACCCAUGCUUUCACAUGGAAGCAACUACACCUGCAACUAGCAACGCUAUCAACAGGGUUAAGCAAGCAGUAACAUAGCCAAUCAGUGGUUUGCUAGGUUGAACAGGUUGAAGGUUUUCAUGGCAUUGUUGAGAGGCUGGUAUUUAACAUGUGGUAGGCAACGAGACAUAAACGAUAGAAGCGAUAAACUAGCAUGGCAAUGAUAGUAAUGGUAUCUGGGGAAAUGAUCAUCUUGCCUGAGAUCCCGCUUGGAAGAAGAAUGAACCCGUGAAGCAGACGAACCGACGUAGUCGAACGGGUCCUCACAAUCUGACUCGCUUGUGGAACUCUAUCGAGACGAAGCAAACCGGAAACACAAAUCAUCACACGAUAUUCACCACACGAUGCAAGACACAUAUGAUGCAUGAACGGUCUAAUGCAAGGCAUGACAAUCACAACAAUCAAACACUACACAUUAAGUGAAGUUCAAUAUGCAACGAGUUGCAUAUUGACGAAACUCCACGUUAGUUAUUUAGUUCUAUCCCGAUUAGGUACUCGGCAAUAUUAAAAGGUUGUUAACAUGGCAAGGGGGUGAAGCGCAAAUUAAUCUACCUAGCUAGGCAUUUUAAAUGAGACCAGAAACGGCAUAUAGCAUCUCCGAAAUGACCCCACGUGCUAAAUUCUAAUUCUGUCCAGAUUUGUCCUAAUCACAUUUUAAGUUUGUUAAACAGCAAAACAAAGUGGUACACGUGAUUCUACUCAUCGUUCUGGUCCAUUUACAUAUAUGGCACAACUCCAACGGAGCUACGGACCAAGAGUUACGACCUAAACCGUUUUCAACACGUCGACAUGCAAAUCGAAGCAAACAUCACGCCUAACAAAUUUGAAUAUGCAUGAGAGUUGGAAAAAUAUUAAUCUAAGCGAAAUUCUACACAUUUAACGUACAUAACUCGUUCCGAUCUGUCGCACGGUUUAAACGUUACACACGUUUUAAAAUCAAUGCAAUUUCACGAAAACCCUUGAGUUUAGCAAACAAAAUCGCAGAACGGGAAAAAAAGAUAUUGGGCUGAAUCUCAUUGGAACAGUGCGGCCCGAAAUGAACCAGCGCCAUGGGCAAACUAUGCUAACACGCACUCAACAGGAAAAAUACCAGAACAACAAAAAGAAAGGGCUCUCCAGGGAUUCGAUCCUUGGCUGCCUGAAUCGCCAAGCAUGGGCUGACCAGCAGGCUAGAGCUUGUAUCGUGUACAAGGUGUUGCUGCAGGCAAAGUGUAGCGUGUAGGACAAAAAUUAAAAUACAACACGCAAAAUUUGGGUUGCCUGGUAUUCGAACCCAGGAUCCCUUGCACUAAGGUUGGCUACAAUUGCCAACUCGGCUACUAGUGUGCUUGUGCAAAAAUAGACAUGGAAUUCUUAAUAAGCCGAACAACGAGAAUGGAUGUGAGAAAAACAGAACAAAGUUCAGAUCGGGGCAUUCUUACAGCGGACAGAAGGGGCCGGCGGGGAUACAGGGCUUCGAUCCUGGAGCUUCCAGCAAGGUGGAUGGGUUGGGGAUGCACCCUGGGUCGCGGAUCCAUCCGCAGGGAGCCGAUUCCCGGCGACGGCGAGCUGGACUUGGGCCCAGGGGGCGCUAGCUUUGCUCGUUUUCUCUGUAGAACAGAGGAAGCAGCAGGGUAGCACCAUGGAGGACGACGACGCGUCGUGGAUGGGGCAAGGAGGCGAGCUCGACGCAGAUCUAGGGGGUCUUGGCAUCACGGAUCCAUUCCCGGCGUCAGGAGCUCGAUUCGGUGGUGGGAACGCCGGUGCACAAGCUGAGUUGAGCGGGGUUGCUGCUCCUGUUGGUCAAGAGAGAGAGAGCUGAGCGGGAGGGAGCAGAAAGAGGAACAUGGGAGGCACGAGAGGGAUAGGAGAGGGUGCAGAGACAGUCCCUGGAGGUGUGACGAGGCCCAAGGUACCACGACGAAGCUCCGGUGGCCAGCGAUGCAUCCAGCCAGAGAAACAGAGAGAGAGAGAAAAACGGGACAGAGAUGGAGAGAGCACGGGGGCAGGAGACGACGACUUGAUCACCCAUUGUCGGCAGUGAGGUCGCCCGACGUUGGAGGCGCUCGAGUCCGGCACGGGCGCAGGGGAAGGGACUCGCGGGGCCGUGGCCCUCCGGUGGCCGGCCGGUGCGGGCCUGCGGGGAGGCCGAGCGCAGCAGCUGCUGCUGCUGGAUGCGACACUUGCGGGCAAGCUGCAGCUGCAGGCAAGCAGCUCCAGUUGGGGGGAUGGGGACUCCGAGGUAGGUAGCGGCUGGACCGGGAGGAGAUCCCGAGGAAGAAGGGGACUGGUGGCGGCGGCUACGGGUGGAUGGGACGGAUCCCCUAGUUUUAUUUU